Molecule: ribosomal RNA, 492 nt
Filed under: uncultured bacterium
Lineage: Bacteria
Description: partial 16S ribosomal RNA
Rfam family: Bacterial small subunit ribosomal RNA
Source: RNAcentral
AGUGAACGCUGGCGGUAGGCCUAACACAUGCAAGUCGAACGGCAGCACAGUAAGAGCUUGCUCUUACGGGUGGCGAGUGGCGGACGGGUGAGGAAUACAUCGGAAUCUACUUUUUCGUGGGGGAUAACGUAGGGAAACGUACGCUAAUACCGCAUACGACCUACGGGUGAAAGCAGGGGAUCUUCGGACCUUGCGCGAUUGAAUGAGCCGAUGUCGGAUUAGCUAGUUGGCGGGGUAAAGGCCCACCAAGGCGACGAUCCGUAGCUGGUCUGAGAGGAUGAUCAGCCACACUGGAACUGAGACACGGUCCAGACUCCUACGGGAGGCAGCAGUGGGGAAUAUUGGACAAUGGGCGCAAGCCUGAUCCAGCCAUACCGCGUGGGUGAAGAAGGCCUUCGGGUUGUAAAGCCCUUUUGUUGGGAAAGAAAAGCAGCAGGUUAAUACCCCGCUGUUCUGACGGUACCCAAAGAAUAAGCACCGGCUAACUUCGUG